GUGAAGGAAGAAGUGGUGAGGAAAGCAUGCUCAGAGAGAUGGCUACUUCACAUUACUGCCUCUUGCCAGGUCUGUUUCCUCAGAUGCCAGGAUUGUACAUUCCCAAGCCAUCUUGGUCAACACGGUAUCAUCCACCUACUUAACUAGUCUUCCUUUAAUUCAGGGUCACAAAUAUUGAUGGGUUCUCCCAGGGCCUGGAGCCCCGCCUGCACUUCCCGGGGUUAUUCCCUGGCCCAUCCUACAAGGAAGCAUUUUAUAGCUGCUCUCCCUUCAAAGCUCCAACACCUGCUCCCCCUCCCUCAUAGUCUAGCUGAUGUCUUCCUCUCAAACUUCACAAAGAAGCUUCAAGCUGCAGACUAGACCUUCCCUUCAUCAACUGUACCCUGCAGCUGUCUCUGCCCACGUGCUCUUUCCUAGGCCUCAGUGGGGGAGUUGGCUGCUCUCUCAGGCCAACCUUACCAUCUGCUAGCUCCUGGACCCCAGCCCCCCUCACCUUCUCAGGACCUUUUCAGGCUGGCUCUGCAUCCAGCCCCUCUCUCUCUAACUCCAAAGGCAUACAAAGGUGCCGGAAUCUUGCAUCUUAAAAACCAAGUCAACCAAAGCCAAAAAAAACUCUUCCCUGACCUUCUCCCUCCUGUUACAAUCUUGUUUUUUUCCAUACAACAUGUCUUUAAAGUGCUGUUUAGAGGCACUGUCUCCACUUUCUCAGUUCUCGUUCUCUCAAUUCACUGUCAUUGAGCUGUUGAACCCAUCACUCCCCAAAACGGUUCUAAUCAAUGUGAUUAAUGACUUAUUUUGCCAAAUCUGGUCACUUGUUGCUUUUCUGACCCUAUCCUUUAGCACUUUCUUCAACCUCUCACUUUCUCCUCCAGCUUCUAUAGCACACCCUCUCCUAGGUGGAUUUCCUUCCCCAAUCACUUGCUGUUCCUCCAUCUCCUCUCUUUGAGGACGGCCAAGAUUGAUUUGGGACCUUAUUCUUUUCCCCUUCCCUCCCCUCCACUUCUCUUUCUUUUCCUCUCCCCAUCCUCUUUCAAUAUUUACGUGGCCCAGCUUAUCUGUUCAACUCCCUGUUUAAAGUCAUUCCUUGCUGAUGAUUGGCAGGUUUACAGUUCCACUCCUGAUCUGUCCACUAAGCUUCAGGCUUGUAGAGGCAGCGGGUUGCCUCUAUACUCUGCUUAAAAGUCUAAUAGCAUCUCCACCUCAUAUGCCCUAAACAGAACUUUGGGUUCCUUCCACCUCUGUCCCUCAAGCUCACUUCUCCUCUAGUCUCUUUAUCAACUUAGGAAAUGACACCACCAUCUACUACACUGUGGCUCCAGUCUCACACAGGAAUCACUCUUGAUUCCUCUUGUCCCGUGCUACUCCCUUCAUAUACUCCAUCAGUGAGUGCUGUCAUCUUCCCCAAGACAGCCUCAAUUCAUCCUCUUUUCUUUAUCUCUAGCUCUAAGCUGCAAUCAUCUCACGGAAAUACUGUGAGAACCUGGUACAAUUUCUAUUCUGCACAGAGACCAGAGUAAUCCACAAAUAUUAAGUCAGAUCAUCUCACUCCCUUUUGUAAAAACCCUUUUGUGGCUUCCUGUUGUGGGCAGAACUAAAUCAAGACAGCUUAUCAUGGCCUAAGAGGACUUACCGGAGCUGGUCAUGACCCCUUCUGACCUCAUUUGGUGAAAUUGGGCCCUGGGCACACUGACCCUCUGCCUGCGAAAACGCAGGCUCAUGCCCACCCAGUGUCUUUCAAGUUUCUCUGCUCCUGAUUUUUACAAGAUUUUAUCUUUCUCAUUAUUAAGUUCUCAGCCUAAAGGUCACGUCCUCAGAGGCCUUUCCUGACCACCCAGUCUAAAUUAGCUCCUUGCCCUCAUCACUCCCUACUCUUAAUUUUGUUCUACUUUUGUUCUAGAACUUAAUGCUAUUUUGAUUAUCUUCCCAUCCAUUUCUAGACUGUAACCACCGGGGAGGCAGAAUACUUUAUCUUGUUUACUAUUGUUAAAUGAAAUUUAUGGGAGACUAUUGUUUUGGACUGGGCUCCUGAACUAGGCCCAGCAGACCAGAAUGGAGUCAUUCAUGUUAAAUGCCACAUAAUCAAACUGAACUCUGAAAUAGGCCAGCUUUCUAAUAAAAAAAAAAAUAGAGAGCGAAUGAGAUUCACAGCAACUAAUCAAAAGGGGAGCAGCUUACCUUAAGAUGGUAUGACCAGGAAGUCCCUUCUGCUUUAACACUAUCAGGGUACUAACCUUGAAACAAAGCAUCUGCUUUUUGUUCUCUGUUUCUGUUUUCUUCAGCCCUUUUCUGCCUAUAAAGCCAGGCUCGUCUUCUCAGCUCAUCGGAAAACCCAUUUUAUUUUAUAGGAUGAGAUGUUGCCUGAUUCUAGAAUUAUUAAUAAAAGCCAAUUAGAUCUUUAUACUAAAUUUGUUGUAAUUUUGUUUUUUGACACUAUGGUGGUCUCAGCACCUAGAACAAUAAUAUAAGCAAAUAGCAAUAAUAAUUUAAUGAAUAAUUCUGUUUGCCUGACUUACAUCCCACUUUCAGAAAGGAAUAACCUCCUGGGAGUAGUCAGCAGAGGUCCCAGGACAAGUAGCCAUGGGAGUUGCCUAAUCUUCUUUCACUCACCGCUUAAAUCAUUUAGCAAAUAUUAAUUGUCAGGUUAUGGGCUAAAUACUGGAGGAACCCAGAUAAAGAAAUCACAGUUUUUGUCAUUUCAAGAACUCACAGACUGGUGGGUGGUGGCAGACUAAGAGGGUAGAAAAUUACAGUGUUGCCGUUUGAUAAAUACAAUAGGAGAGGGAAGCACAGGCUCCUAUUGCAGCUCACAGAAGGAGCACCUAACUCACAUGAAGUCAAGGAAAGCUUCCUGGAAGAAGUGAUACUUCAAGCAAGUCUUAAGGUUUCCUCGUUGGUAGAAUGGGACUGGCCCUGGUGCCCCUGCUACAUGGAGUCUGUGGGAUUCAAUGAGAAGAUUCCUGGCCUGGCGUGGCUCAUGCCUAUAAUCCCAGCACUUUGGGAGGCCA
RNAcentral lists this long non-coding RNA (3005 nucleotides) under Homo sapiens (human). RNAcentral's name for it is "HSALNT0188398". Lineage: Eukaryota; Metazoa; Chordata; Mammalia; Primates; Hominidae. The record is from RNAcentral.